AAGUCGUAACAAGGUUUCCGUAGGUGAACCUGCGGAAGGAUCAUUAUUGAAAUUAAAUUCGAGGGUGCGUGUGAUUGGAUGGAUUCUUUUUUGAAUUCAUUCAGUUGCGCGCGCUUUUCUUAUUCACCCCUUUGUGAACCUUCAUUGCAAGAAGGCAGUCGUGAGUGUGAUCACGUGACAAUCAUCCGAUCGAUCUUUGUCAUUGGUCAUUCACUCCGCACUUGCCAUCUUGCAAUUACCAACACCAUCAAAACAAUUGUCUUAAUCUAAUUAUUAAAAAAUAAACAACUUUUAACAACGGAUCUCUAGGCUCUC
RNAcentral lists this unclassified non-coding RNA (315 nucleotides) under fungal sp. RNAcentral describes it as "partial internal transcribed spacer region". The stretch from base 1 to 46 matches the Rfam family "Eukaryotic small subunit ribosomal RNA", at positions 1786 to 1831 of the family's 1831-position model. The record is from RNAcentral. Lineage: Eukaryota; Fungi.